RNAcentral lists this ribosomal RNA (465 nucleotides) under Vreelandella stevensii. RNAcentral describes it as "partial 16S ribosomal RNA". It matches the Rfam family "Bacterial small subunit ribosomal RNA", at positions 338 to 795 of the family's 1533-position model. The record is from RNAcentral. Lineage: Bacteria; Pseudomonadati; Pseudomonadota; Gammaproteobacteria; Oceanospirillales; Halomonadaceae.
CCUACGGGUGGCAGCAGUGGGGAAUAUUGGACAAUGGGGGGAACCCUGAUCCAGCCAUGCCGCGUGUGUGAAGAAGGCCCUCGGGUUGUAAAGCACUUUCAGUGAGGAAGAACGCCUGGAGGUUAAUACCCAUCAGGAAAGACAUCACUCACAGAAGAAGCACCGGCUAACUCCGUGCCAGCAGCCGCGGUAAUACGGAGGGUGCGAGCGUUAAUCGGAAUUACUGGGCGUAAAGCGCGCGUAGGUGGCUUGAUAAGCCGGUUGUGAAAGCCCCGGGCUCAACCUGGGAACGGCAUCCGGAACUGUCAAGCUAGAGUGCAGGAGAGGAAGGUAGAAUUCCCGGUGUAGCGGUGAAAUGCGUAGAGAUCGGGAGGAAUACCAGUGGCGAAGGCGGCCUUCUGGACUGACACUGACACUGAGGUGCGAAAGCGUGGGUAGCAAACAGGAUUAGAUACCCGUGUAGUC